GACGAACGCUGGCGGCGUGCUUAACACAUGCAAGUCGAGCGGUAAGGCCCUUUCGGGGGUACACGAGCGGCGAACGGGUGAGUAACACGUGGGUGACCUGCCCUCAGCUCUGGGAUAAGCCUGGGAAACUGGGUCUAAUACUGGAUAUGACUCCACGGUGCAUGUCGUGGGGUGGAAAGCCUUGUGCGGCUGAGGAUGGGCCCGCGGCCUAUCAGCUUGUUGGUGGGGUGANGGCCUACCAAGGCGACGACGGGUAGCCGGCCUGAGAGGGCGACCGGCCACACUGGGACUGAGACACGGCCCAGACUCCUACGGGAGGCAGCAGUGGGGAAUCUUGCGCAAUGGGCGAAAGCCUGACGCAGCGACGCCGCGUGAGGGAUGACGGCCUCGGUGUAACUACUUCUAC
This 406-nucleotide ribosomal RNA is filed under the name uncultured bacterium. RNAcentral's name for it is "bacterial SSU rRNA". It matches the Rfam family "Bacterial small subunit ribosomal RNA", at positions 28 to 436 of the family's 1533-position model. The record is from RNAcentral.